GAGACACCCUUAUGGGGCAGGACUUGCUUCAGUGUGGCUUUGGCUCUCACUGAGUCUGCCUCCUGAGUGUGUCUCU
Non-coding RNA from Myotis lucifugus (little brown bat), 76 nucleotides. NCBI's taxonomy places the organism in Eukaryota, Metazoa, Chordata, Mammalia, Chiroptera, Vespertilionidae. The record is from Rfam.